Molecule: ribosomal RNA, 402 nt
Filed under: uncultured bacterium
Lineage: Bacteria
Description: bacterial SSU rRNA
Rfam family: Bacterial small subunit ribosomal RNA
Source: RNAcentral
UCGGGAAUUUUGGGCAAUGGGCGAAAGCCUGACCCAGCAACGCCGCGUGAGGGAUGAAGUAUUUCGGUAUGUAAACCUCGAAAGAAUGGGAAGAAUAAAUGACGGUACCAUUUAUAAGCUCCGGCUAACUACGUGCCAGCAGCCGCGGUAAUACGUAGGGAGCAAGCGUUGUUCGGAUUUACUGGGCGUAAAGGGCGCGUAGGCGGCGCGGUAAGUCACUUGUGAAAUCUCUGAGCUUAACUCAGAAUGGCCAAGUGAUACUGCUGUGCUAGAGUGCGGAAGAGGCGACCGGAAUUCUCGGUGUAGCGGUGAAAUGCGUAGAUAUCAAGAGGAACACCUGAGGCGAAGGCGGGUUGCUGGGCCGACACUGACGCUGAUGCGCGAAAGCCAGGGGAGCAAACG